CUAGGGGAUAGGACGGCGAGUUAGAUCGAAUAUCGGGUGUAGAGUCACGAGCGCGGACGGGUGAGUAACGCUGGGAAUCUACCCCAAACUGAGGGAUAAGCAUCGGAAACGGUGUCUAAUACCGCAUAUGGUCUUCGGAUUAAAGCCUUCGGCGGUUUGGGAAGAGCCCGCGUAAGAUUAGCUAGUUGGUGAGGUAAUGGCUCACCAAGGCGACGAUCUUUAACUGGUUUGAGAGGAUGAUCAGUCACACUGGAACUGAGACACGGUCCAGACUCCUACGGGAGGCAGCAGUGAGGAAUUUCCCACAAUGGGCGAAAGCCUGAUGGAGCAACGCCGCGUGCAGGAUGAAGGCUUUAGGGUUGUAAACUGCUUUUAUAUGUGACGAAUAUGACGGUAGCAUAUGAAUAAGGAUCGGCUAACUCCGUG
RNAcentral lists this ribosomal RNA (426 nucleotides) under uncultured bacterium. RNAcentral's name for it is "bacterial SSU rRNA". It matches the Rfam family "Bacterial small subunit ribosomal RNA", at positions 58 to 507 of the family's 1533-position model. The record is from RNAcentral.